Molecule: long non-coding RNA, 1085 nt
Filed under: Vigna radiata
Lineage: Eukaryota; Viridiplantae; Streptophyta; Magnoliopsida; Fabales; Fabaceae
Description: long non-coding RNA (VRAD_LNC015735)
Source: RNAcentral
UCAACAUUAGUGUAAAAACGUUGUUUAACGUUGCCCAAUAGACGUCGGUUUGCUGAUAAUCCGACGUAUAUGAGUGGACGGUGGCAUUAUCGUAAAUAACUUGGUAAAGUAGACGUCGGUUUCCAGACAACGUAACGUCUAUGAUAUUGUAGACGUCCAAACUGUUUCAAACAGACGUCUAAUGGCCUGAGGUAGGUCAGAAGACAGUCCCUUCACGUCGGUGUUCACGGGGGGCUGACGUCUAUAGGCCUGUAAUUAAUGCUUUCACCUAAUUUCCAGACGCUUAGACGCCGCUUAGUCAACAGGCGACGUCUAAGGCCUGAAUAUGGAAGGCGGGAAAGAUAAAAAAUCUUUAAUUUAGACGUUGGAGAUUUGUGCACGUGACGACUAAGUGCCUGUAAUUAAUUAGAUUCACCAAAUUCAAGGGCCAUAGACGUUGGCUAGAAGGGGCACCGACGUCUAUGUGCCUGUAAGUAAUGAUGUGCAUCAUUAUAGACGUCGGCGCCCCAUCACAACUGUCGUCAACAUCCCUGACAGAAAAUCAAAUGUCAAUCGUUUCAGCUUCCUAGACGUCGGUUCCCAUUGUGACUAACGUCUAGUGGGAUUCAAAAGGUCAGUUGAAAAGUUAACUUGGACGUCAAAUUAGUAACAGAACGGAUGUCUAUAGUCAUAUAGACGUCGACUAUCUGGAGAAACCGAUGCCCAGUUUCGUUUUAAAUAGACCGCAAACUCUUCCCAGCAUUCAGUUUCUGAUAUCUUCCUCUUCCUCUUCUUAUUUUUCUCUCGCAGCACUCUUCUUUUUCUCCCUUUCGGCACGUCUUCUUUUUGUUGCGGCAUUCUAUUGUUGUUUGUGAUAUCUUUAUCGUCUUCCUCCUCUCUUUUUCUCUCUUGCGACAUUGCCUCCCAGGUGCGUGAUUUUUUGUUUAUGCUUACCGUUUGUUUAGUCUUUCAUCGAUUAUCUUCUGGUUCAACUGAUCAAAAUUUGCUUUCUUUGUGUUGUGUUUUAGUGCAGUUUUGUUCCUUUCUUGGGAUAACGUAGUAACACAUUCUCCCUUUUCUAGCUGCCUCCCGGAAAUAGCGCCGCC